UGGGGGAUAUUGCACAAUGGGGGAAACCCUGAUGCAGCGACGCCGCGUGAGUGAAGAAGUAUCUCGGUAUGUAAAGCUCUAUCAGCAGGGACGAAAAUGACGGUACCUGAGUAAGAAGCNCCGGCUAACUACGUGCCAGCCGCCGCGGUAAUACGUAGGGGGCAAGCGUUAUCCGGAUUUACUGGGUGUAAAGGGAGCGUAGACGGUCAUGCAAGUCUGGAGUGAAAGGCGGGGGCCCAACCCCCGGACUGCUCUGGAAACUGUAAGACUAGAGUACAGGAGGGGUAAGCGGAAUUCCUAGUGUAGCGGUGAAAUGCGUAGAUAUUAGGAGGAACACCAGUGGCGAAGGCGGCUUACUGGACUGAAACUGACGUUGAGGCUCGAAAGCGUGGGGAGCAAACAGG
This 404-nucleotide ribosomal RNA is filed under the name uncultured bacterium. RNAcentral's name for it is "bacterial SSU rRNA". It matches the Rfam family "Bacterial small subunit ribosomal RNA", at positions 355 to 776 of the family's 1533-position model. The record is from RNAcentral.